This 793-nucleotide ribosomal RNA is filed under the name uncultured Pseudomonadota bacterium. RNAcentral describes it as "bacterial SSU rRNA". It matches the Rfam family "Bacterial small subunit ribosomal RNA", at positions 74 to 870 of the family's 1533-position model. The record is from RNAcentral. Lineage: Bacteria; Pseudomonadati; Pseudomonadota.
UUGUAGCAAUACAACUGGCGCACGGCGCACGGGUGCGUAACACGUGGGUAAUCUGCCCUCUGAUGGGGAAUAACCCGCCGAAAGGCGGGCUAAUUCCGCAUAAUAUUCCGAGAACUUCGGUUUUUGGACUGAAAGGCGUAAGUCGUCGGAGGAGGAGCCCGCGCCCGAUUAGCUAGUUGGUAGGGUAAUGGCCUACCAAGGCUUUGAUCGGUAGCUGGUCUGAGAGGAUGGCCAGCCACACUGGAACUGAGACACGGUCCAGACUCCUACGGGAGGCAGCAGUGGGGAAUCUUGCACAAUGGGCGAAAGCCUGAUGCAGCGACGCCGCGUGGGGGAUGAAGCUUCUCGGAGUGUAAACCCCUUUCGAUCCGGACGAAUACCUCGCAAGAGGGGUGACGGUACGGAUAUAAGAAGCCCCGGCUAACUACGUGCCAGCAGCCGCGGUAAGACGUAGGGGGCCAGCGUUGUUCGGAAUUACUGGGUGUAAAGGGUUCGUAGGCGGUGUGGCAAGUCGGGAGUGAAAUCUCUGGGCUCAACCCAGAGGCUGCUUCCGAAACUGCUGUGCUUGAGUGUGGGAGAGGCGCGUGGAAUUGCAGGUGUAGCGGUGAAAUGCGUAGAUAUCUGCAGGAACACCCGUGGCGAAAGCGGCGCGCUGGACCACUACUGACGCUGAAGAACGAAAGCUAGGGGAGCAAACAGGAUUAGAUACCCUGGUAGUCCUAGCCCUAAACGAUCAGACUUUGGGGUGCCACCCGUUCGGGUGGCGUCCCGGAGCUAACGCGUUAAGUCCUGC